Molecule: ribosomal RNA, 879 nt
Filed under: uncultured Bacillota bacterium
Lineage: Bacteria; Bacillati; Bacillota
Description: bacterial SSU rRNA
Rfam family: Bacterial small subunit ribosomal RNA
Source: RNAcentral
AGAGUUUGAUUAUGGCUCAGGAUGAACGCUGGCGGCGUGCCUAACACAUGCAAGUCGAGCGAUCUCUUCGGAGAGAGCGGCGGACGGGUGAGUUACGCGUGGGUAACCUGCCCUGUACACACGGAUAACAUACCGAAAGGUAUACUAAUACGGGAUAACAUACGAAAGUCGCAUUGCUUUUGUAUCAAAGCUCCGGCGGUACAGGAUGGACCCGCGUCUGAUUAGCUAGUUGGUAAGGUAAUGGCUUACCAAGGCAACGAUCAGUAGCCGACCUGAGAGGGUGAUCGGCCACACUGGAACUGAGACACGGUCCAGACUCCUACGGGAGGCAGCAGUGGGGAAUAUUGCACAAUGGGCGAAAGCCUGAUGCAGCAACGCCGCGUGAGCGAUGAAGGCCUUCGGGUCGUAAAGCUCUGUCCUCAAGGAAGAUAAUGACGGUACUUGAGGAGGAAGCCCCGGCUAACUACGUGCCAGCAGCCGCGGUAAUACGUAGGGGGCUAGCGUUAUCCGGAAUUACUGGGCGUAAAGGGUGCGUAGGUGGUUUUUUAAGUCAGAAGUGAAGGGCUACGGCUCAACCGUAGUAAGCUUUUGAAACUAGAGAACUUGAGUGCAGGAGAGGAGAGUAGAAUUCCUAGUGUAGCGGUGAAAUGCGUAGAUAUUAGGAGGAAUACCAGUAGCGAAGGCGGCUCUCUGGACUGUAACUGACACUGAGGCACGAAAGCGUGGGGAGCAAACAGGAUUAGAUACCCUGGUAGUCCACGCCGUAAACGAUGAGUACUAGGUGUCGGGGGUUACCCCCCUCGGUGCCGCAGCUAACGCAUUAAGUACUCCGCCUGGGAAGUACGCUCGCAAGAGUGAAACUCAAAUGAAUUGACGGGG